UACGAAGGGGGCUAGCGUUGCUCGGAAUUACUGGGCGUAAAGCGCACGUAGGCGGCUUUCUAAGUCGGGGGUGAAAUCCUGGAGCUCAACUCCAGAACUGCCUUCGAUACUGGAAAGCUCGAGUCCGGGAGAGGUGAGUGGAACUGCGAGUGUAGAGGUGAAAUUCGUAGAUAUUCGCAAGAACACCAGUGGCGAAGGCGGCUCACUGGCCCGGUACUGACGCUGAGGCACGAAAGCGUGGGGAGCAAGCAGG
This 253-nucleotide ribosomal RNA is filed under the name uncultured bacterium. RNAcentral's name for it is "partial 16S ribosomal RNA". It matches the Rfam family "Bacterial small subunit ribosomal RNA", at positions 524 to 776 of the family's 1533-position model. The record is from RNAcentral.